AGCGGAGGAAAAGAAACCAACAGGGAUUGCCCUAGUAACGGCGAGUGAAGCGGCAACAGCUCAAAUUUGAAAUCUGGCUCUUUCAGAGUCCGAGUUGUAAUUUGCAGAGGGCGCUUUGGCUUUGGCAGCGGUCCAAGUUCCUUGGAACAGGACGUCACAGAGGGUGAGAAUCCCGUACGUGGUCGCUAGCUAUUGCCGUGUAAAGCCCCUUCGACGAGUCGAGUUGUUUGGGAAUGCAGCUCUAAAUGGGAGGUAAAUUUCUUCUAAAGCUAAAUAUUGGCCAGAGACCGAUAGCGCACAAGUAGAGUGAUCGAAAGAUGAAAAGCACUUUGGAAAGAGAGUCAAACAGCACGUGAAAUUGUUGAAAGGGAAGCGCUUGCAGCCAGACUUGCUUGCAGUUGCUCAUCCGGGCUUUUGCCCGGUGCACUCUUCUGUAGGCAGGCCAGCAUCAGUUUGGGCGGUGGGAUAAAGGUCUCUGUCACGUACCUCUCUUCGGGGAGGCCUUAUAGGGGAGACGACAUACCACCAGCCUAGACUGAGGUCCGCGCAUCUGCUAGGAUGCUGGCGUAAUGGCUGUAAGCGGCCCGUCUUGAAACACGGACCAAGGAGUCUAACAUCUAUGCGAGUGUUUGGGUGUCAAGCCCGAGCGCGUAAUGAAAGUGAACGGAGGUGGGAACCCGCAAGGGUGCACCAUCGACCGAUCCUGAAGUUUACGGAAGGAUUUGAGUAAGAGCAUGGCUGUUGGGACCCGAAAGAUGGUGAACUAUGCUUGAAUAGGGUGAAGCCAGAGGAAACUCUGGUGGAGGCUCGCAGCGGUUCUGACGUGCAAAUCGAUCGUCAAAUUUGGGCAUAGGGGCGAAAGACUAAUCGAACC
RNAcentral lists this ribosomal RNA (874 nucleotides) under Bipolaris salviniae. RNAcentral describes it as "LSU rRNA". It matches the Rfam family "Eukaryotic large subunit ribosomal RNA", at positions 49 to 941 of the family's 3401-position model. The record is from RNAcentral. Lineage: Eukaryota; Fungi; Ascomycota; Dothideomycetes; Pleosporales; Pleosporaceae.